This 174-nucleotide ribosomal RNA is filed under the name uncultured bacterium. RNAcentral describes it as "partial 16S ribosomal RNA". It matches the Rfam family "Bacterial small subunit ribosomal RNA", at positions 338 to 524 of the family's 1533-position model. The record is from RNAcentral.
CCUACGGGAGGCAGCAGUGGGGAAUAUUGCGCAAUGGGCGAAAGCCUGACGCAGCGACGCCGCGUGAGGGAUGAAGGCCUUCGGGUUGUAAACCUCUUUCAGCAGGGACGAAGCGAAAGUGACGGUACCUGCAGAAGAAGCACCGGCCAACUACGUGCCAGCAGCCGCGGUAAU